RNAcentral lists this ribosomal RNA (279 nucleotides) under uncultured bacterium. RNAcentral's name for it is "partial 16S ribosomal RNA". It matches the Rfam family "Bacterial small subunit ribosomal RNA", at positions 506 to 784 of the family's 1533-position model. The record is from RNAcentral.
UGCCAGCCGCCGCGGUAAUACGCAGGGGGUUAGCGUUGUUCGGAAUUACUGGGCGUAAAGCGCACGUAGGCGGAUUGGAAAGUUAGAGGUGAAAUCCCAGGGCUCAACCCUGGAACUGCCUUUAAAACUAUCAGUCUAGAGGUCGAGAGAGGUGAGUGGAAUUCCGAGUGUAGAGGUGAAAUUCGUAGAUAUUCGGAGGAACACCAGUGGCGAAGGCGACUCACUGGUCCGAUACUGACGCUGAGGUGCGAAAGCGUGGGGAGCAAACAGGAUUAGAUA